UAAAGCGUGCGCAGGCGGUUCGCUAAGACAGAUGUGAAAUCCCCGGGCUUAACCUGGGAACUGCAUUUGUGACUGGCGGGCUAGAGUAUGGCAGAGGGGGGUAGAAUUCCACGUGUAGCAGUGAAAUGCGUAGAGAUGUGGAGGAAUACCGAUGGCGAAGGCAGCCCCCUGGGCCAAUACUGACGCUCAUGCACGAAAGCGUGGGGAGCAAACAGGAUUAGAUACCCUGU
Molecule: ribosomal RNA, 230 nt
Filed under: uncultured bacterium
Lineage: Bacteria
Description: partial 16S ribosomal RNA
Rfam family: Bacterial small subunit ribosomal RNA
Source: RNAcentral